UACGUAGGAUGCAAGCGUUGUCCGGUUUUAUUGGGUUUAAAGGGUGCCUAGGCGGCCUAUUAAGUUAGUGGUGAAAACGUUCGGCUUAACCGGAUACCCGCCAUUGAUACUGAUAGACUUGAGUGCGACAGAGGGUGUUGGAAUGUGUGGUGUAGCGGUGAAAUGCUUAGAUAUCACGCAGAACACCAAUUGCGAAGGCAGAUGCCUAUGUCGUAACUGACGAUGAGGCACGAAAGCGUGGGGAGCAAACAGG
This 253-nucleotide ribosomal RNA is filed under the name uncultured bacterium. Its description in RNAcentral is "partial 16S ribosomal RNA". It matches the Rfam family "Bacterial small subunit ribosomal RNA", at positions 524 to 776 of the family's 1533-position model. The record is from RNAcentral.